GGUACAACUACUCGUGAAUACUUGUAGCAGCAAGAAAGGAGACUCGCGUGAUUUUUUGGUAUACGCUAUGAACCAAGUACCUACGUUGUAUCCUGACUAUCGACAAAAUGAAGUAGCAAGCUCUAAAUUCGUAGUUGUGUCGUCACCGCAUAGCAUGAUCGAAACAGAGGUCGGCGCGCGGCAGCGGUUACUCUCCGAUGUCGUUUAAAACCUAAUGUACACUCGAUAAUUUCAGGCUGUACCUUCUGAACUUAUGUGGUAUUUACUAUUAACAUAAGGAAGCUGACUCUGGACUCCCACGCACUAUGGCUAAGGAAACAGCUGGGGAAACGGUAAACCAUAUACGGAAAUCGCUCAGAUAUGAAAAUUUGAUUUUAAGAUAUGGACAAGAAUUCACGAGUAAUAUAUAAAAUGAAAAAUAAAACGUAGUAUGCUUACAUACAUUUUUCGUAGCGUACCUAUGUACCUACUGUAAGCUAAAUUAUAUUGUAAGAAUGAUGACGGAUCGAAAUUCCCGUUACACUUAGAAUAUACACAUUAUAAAUUGUUUCAUGCUAAAAACAAUUGUUUAGAAAAAUUACAAGCGCCUACACUUUUUGUGAGAGCAACGACGUUGUUGUGUUACCUGGCUCGGGAAAAGUUCCAGUGCACAGUAUUUACAAAAGAAAUUGGGCGCUUUGACUGUAUUCGAGUUUAUUUUUAUUUAUAUUGUAAAUUAUGCUAUUCCAUUCAAAUUCAGUGACCUUGUAAGCAAUGUUUCGAAAUAUAUAAG
This is a long non-coding RNA of Plodia interpunctella (Indianmeal moth), 772 nucleotides long. RefSeq lists it as uncharacterized. The transcript has 3 exons. The record is from RefSeq and is a predicted model, not a curated record. NCBI's taxonomy places the organism in Eukaryota, Metazoa, Arthropoda, Insecta, Lepidoptera, Pyralidae.